Otolemur garnettii (small-eared galago) is the source of this 102-nucleotide small nucleolar RNA. The record is from Ensembl. NCBI's taxonomy places the organism in Eukaryota, Metazoa, Chordata, Mammalia, Primates, Galagidae.
AUCUCUAAAAAAUAGCCAGAUGUUGAUUGGGUUUUCAUGUGCAUGCGUGAGAUGUGCCUCCCACAACUCUUGUGACGGUGUUGGCACGUUACCUGUCUGACA